RNAcentral lists this ribosomal RNA (497 nucleotides) under uncultured bacterium. RNAcentral describes it as "partial 16S ribosomal RNA". It matches the Rfam family "Bacterial small subunit ribosomal RNA", at positions 28 to 507 of the family's 1533-position model. The record is from RNAcentral.
GAUGAACGCUGGCGGCGUGCCUAAUACAUGCAAGUCGAGCGAACAGAUGAGGAGCUUGCUCCUCUGACGUUAGCGGCGGACGGGUGAGUAACACGUGGAUAACCUACCUAUAAGACUGGGAUAACUUCGGGAAACCGGAGCUAAUACCGGAUAAUAUAUUGAACCGCAUGGUUCAAUAGUGAAAGACGGUUUUGCUGUCACUUAUAGAUGGAUCCGCGCCGCAUUAGCUAGUUGGUAAGGUAACGGCUUACCAAGGCAACGAUGCGUAGCCGACCUGAGAGGGUGAUCGGCCACCCUGGAACUGAGACACGGUCCAGACUCCUACGGGAGGCAGCAGUAGGGAAUCUUACGCAAUGGGCGAAAGCCUGACGGAGCAACGCCGCGUGAGUGAUGAAGGUCUUCGGAUCGUAAAACUCUGUUAUUAGGGAAGAACAAAUGUGUAAGUAACUAUGCACGUCUUGACGGUACCUAAUCAGAAAGCCACGGCUAACUACGUG